This 492-nucleotide ribosomal RNA is filed under the name uncultured bacterium. Its description in RNAcentral is "partial 16S ribosomal RNA". It matches the Rfam family "Bacterial small subunit ribosomal RNA", at positions 29 to 507 of the family's 1533-position model. The record is from RNAcentral.
AGUGAACGCUGGCGGUAGGCCUAACACAUGUAAGUCGAACGGCAGCACAGUAAGAGCUUGCUCUUACGGGUGGCGAGUGGCGGACGGGUGAGGAAUACAUCGGAAUCUACUUUUUCGUGGGGGAUAACGUAGGGAAACUUACGCUAAUACCGCAUACGACCUACGGGUGAAAGCAGGGGAUCUUCGGACCUUGCGCGAUUGAAUGAGCCGAUGUCGGAUUAGCUAGUUGGCGGGGUAAAGGCCCACCAAGGCGACGAUCCGUAGCUGGUCUGAGAGGAUGAUCAGCCACACUGGAACUGAGACACGGUCCAGACUCCUACGGGAGGCAGCAGUGGGGAAUAUUGGACAAAGGGCGCAAGCCUGAUCCAGCCAUGCCGCGUGGGUGAAGAAGGCCUUCGGGUUGUAAAGCCCUUUUGUUGGGAAAGAAAAGCAGCAGGUUAAUACCCCGCUGUUCUGACGGUACCCAAAGAAUAAGCACCGGCUAACUUCGUG